GCGCACGCUGGCGGCAGGCCUAACACCUGCAAGUCGAACGGAUCCUUCGGGAUUAGUGGCGGACGGGUGAGUAACACGUGGGAACGUGCCCUUUGGUUCGGAACAACUCAGGGAAACUUGAGCUAAUACCGGAUGUGCCCUUCGGGGGAAAGAUUUAUCGCCAUUGGAGCGGCCCGCGUCUGAUUAGCUAGUUGGUGAGGUAACGGCCCACCAAGGCGACGAUCAGUAGCUGGUCUGAGAGGAUGAUCAGCCACACUGGGACUGAGACACGGCCCAGACUCCUACGGGAGGCAGCAGUGGGGAAUCUUGCGCAAUGGGCGAAAGCCUGACGCAGCCAUGCCGCGUGAAUGAUGAAGGUCUUAGGAUUGUAAAAUUCUUUCAGCGGGGACGAUAAUGACGGUACCCGCAGAAGAAGCUCCGGCUAACUUCGUG
This 432-nucleotide ribosomal RNA is filed under the name uncultured bacterium. RNAcentral's name for it is "partial 16S ribosomal RNA". It matches the Rfam family "Bacterial small subunit ribosomal RNA", at positions 29 to 507 of the family's 1533-position model. The record is from RNAcentral.